UGGGGAAUAUUGGACAAUGGGCGCAAGCCUGAUCCAGCCAUGCCGCGUGAGUGAUGAAGGCCCUAGGGUUGUAAAGCUCUUUCACCGGUGAAGAUAAUGACGGUAACCGGAGAAGAAGCCCCGGCUAACUUCGUGCCAGCAGCCGCGGUAAUACGAAGGGGGCUAGCGUUGUUCGGAUUUACUGGGCGUAAAGCGCACGUAGGCGGACUUUUAAGUCAGGGGUGAAAUCCCGGGGCUCAACCCCGGAACUGCCUUUGAUACUGGAAGUCUUGAGUAUGGUAGAGGUGAGUGGAAUUCCGAGUGUAGAGGUGAAAUUCGUAGAUAUUCGGAGGAACACCAGUGGCGAAGGCGGCUCACUGGACCAUUACUGACGCUUAGGUGCGAAAGCGUGGGGAGCAAACAGG
RNAcentral lists this ribosomal RNA (404 nucleotides) under Actinomycetes bacterium. Its description in RNAcentral is "Actinobacteria bacterium partial 16S ribosomal RNA". It matches the Rfam family "Bacterial small subunit ribosomal RNA", at positions 355 to 776 of the family's 1533-position model. RNAcentral also lists the same sequence under 1 other name. The record is from RNAcentral. Lineage: Bacteria; Bacillati; Actinomycetota; Actinomycetes.